This 663-nucleotide long non-coding RNA is filed under the name Mus pahari (shrew mouse). Its description in RNAcentral is "lncRNA (MGP_PahariEiJ_G0004980.1)". Lineage: Eukaryota; Metazoa; Chordata; Mammalia; Rodentia; Muridae. The record is from RNAcentral.
GCGCUCGAAAGCGGGCUGUCCUGGUGCCUCCCCGGGAGUGGAGUGAGCCGAGCCUUGCUUACCAGCAUCUGCGCCUCCGCACACCGCGAAGGCGCCCAAUUGGAGGUGCGGCCACGGCCGGGGCAGGCGGCAGAACGCCGUCAGGUAAAGGGAAGAAAGGAAAAGGCCGGCCCAAGAACUCCGGGAAGAAGCAGAAGCUGAAGAAGCCGGAAGUGGACAUCAUGAGCCCGGCAGCCAUGCUGAACCUGUACUACAUUGCUCACAAUGUUGCCGACUGCCUGUACCUGCGAGGCUUCCCGUGGCCAGGGGCUCCCAAAGGGAAAAGGGGGAAAAAAUAAGACUUAGGUGAUAGAAUUCAAAGCAUGCCUUGGUCUCAAAGAACAGAAAGUAGGAGAAUGCAUUUAGGAUAACUCAAGGACUUCGGCCAAAUGGGCUCUAAAAGACAAGCGGGAACACGUAGCCGCCACUGCGCUUUUCUGUGAUAAGCAAUAGCGAAGGCUGCUUUUAUUUCCGAAGCUAAGCCAGGUACUAGGUAAGCCACUUUGGUUUUUCAGAUGUAAUCAGGAAAAAUAGUCCAUAAAGGCUACCCUGGCACUGGUAAUAAUUUUUUAAAAUAUUAUAAUCAUAAUUCUAGACUGAAUUAAACCUUGUUCUCAGAAGGCA